This 253-nucleotide ribosomal RNA is filed under the name uncultured bacterium. Its description in RNAcentral is "partial 16S ribosomal RNA". It matches the Rfam family "Bacterial small subunit ribosomal RNA", at positions 524 to 776 of the family's 1533-position model. The record is from RNAcentral.
GACGAACCGUACGAACGUUGUUCGGAAUCACUGGGCUUAAAGGGCGCGUAGGCGGACUGCCAAGUCCGGGGUGAAAUCUUUCGGCUCAACCGGAAAAUAGCCUCGGAGACUGGCGGUCUGGAGGGGGGUAGGGGCAGCUGGAACUUCCGGUGGAGCGGUGAAAUGCGUUGAUAUCGAUAGGAACUCCGGUGGCGAAGGCGGCAUACUGGUCCACUUCUGACGCUGAGGCGCGAAAGCCAGGGGAGCAAACGGG